AUGCCCGCAGAACAACAGGGGAAAAAUAAAACUUUCCAUAAGAAGAUUCAAGCCGGGAAACAGGUUCAAAUAUCAAAAAUUCCAAGGUGUGAGUACUUGAUAGGCAUCAAAGGACAAGAGUUCAUCAGUCAGAUUCAAGCCAGUUACCCUCAUCUACUUGAACAGCUGUUAUCUACUUCAGACAACACAGAAGAUGAAAAUGAAAAUGUUGAAUCACCAAUUGUCCACCUGAAGAAAACCGUUCAGAAGACGCAGUCAUGAUGAACACCCCCGUGGUGAAGGCCGCCUUGGAGAUGGGCUUCAGUAGAAGCCUGGUGAGGCAGACGGUGCAGAGUAAGAUCCUGACCACUGGGGAGAAUUACAGAACCGUUAACAAUAUUGUGUCUGAUUUUACUUCACGUGGAAGACGAAAUAAAGGAAGAGGAGAAAGAAAGAGCAGCUGAGAACAGAGAAUCAGACGACGUAUCAUUGAUCCAGAAGAACAGAAUGGUGCUUUUCCAGCAUUUGACUUAAGUGCUCCCAAUCCUGGAUAGUCUGCUAACUGCCGGAGUGAUUAGUGAGCAAGAACACAGUGUGAUUAAGCAGAAGGCACGGACGUCUCUGCAAGCAAGAGAGCUGAUUGAUACUGUGUUAGUAAAGGGAAGCUUUGCGGUCACCAUAUUUAAAAACUCUCUACAAGAAACGGACCCCGUGUUAUACAAGCGUUUCUUUGUGCAACAGGACAUAAAGUAUAUCCCCCCGGAAAAUGUCUCAGAUUUACCAGUGGAAGAGCAGUUGAGGAGGCUGCAGGAAGAGAGGACGUGUAAAGUGUGCAUGGACAAAGAAGGUUCCAUAGUGUUCAUUCCUUGUGGCCACCUGGUCGUGUGCAGAGACUGCGCCCCGUCUCUACGAAGAUGUCCUAUCUGCAGGGGCGCAGUCAAGGGCACAGUGCGUACGUUUCUUUCAUGAGGAAGAUCCCAAACUUUGUCUAGACUUUAAAAUUAAUGGAUUACGUGUAUUGUAAUUUUGACUACUAUGCUGGUUGGUUUCCUUAAGAUAUUUAUCUAUUUGCAACUCAGAACUGUUUGAUAUAAAUAUAUAUCUAAACGCUGUGAGCCGUGUGUACCUAAGAGAGAGUGAGAACGAUAGGCUUUUGUUCAUGUGAACAAAGAGACAGAACUACAGGCACAAUACUAAAUCAGAAUUUCCGCACUACUGAACUCACAAGUGAAUGAAGCUUUCAGAAUUUUAAAUACUUUGGAGUCGUAUUAAGAAACAGGAGCAUGGAUUAUCUGCCUUUCUUGAUCCAAAUCCUGUAUGUAGAAGGUCUUGAUAUUUGUUGAAUGACUUUUUGGGGACCUGGUGGUUUUGUAAAGAAUUCUGUGAUGAACAUUUUAAUAAAGCCAUAAAAUUAAAAAAAAAA
Molecule: RNA transcript, 1402 nt
Organism: Mirounga angustirostris (Northern elephant seal)
Lineage: Eukaryota; Metazoa; Chordata; Mammalia; Carnivora; Phocidae
Gene name: baculoviral IAP repeat-containing protein 3-like
Exons: 2
Source: RefSeq, a predicted model, not a curated record